This 77-nucleotide transfer RNA is filed under the name Bacillota bacterium. RNAcentral describes it as "tRNA-Pro". It matches the Rfam family "tRNA". From Rfam's summary of the family: Transfer RNA (tRNA) molecules are approximately 80 nucleotides in length. Their secondary structure includes four short double-helical elements and three loops (D, anti-codon, and T loops). Further hydrogen bonds mediate the characteristic L-shaped molecular structure. tRNAs have two regions of fundamental functional importance: the anti-codon, which is responsible for specific mRNA codon recognition, and the 3' end, to which the tRNAs corresponding amino acid is attached (by aminoacyl-tRNA synthetases). tRNAs cope with the degeneracy of the genetic code in two manners: having more than one tRNA (with a specific anti-codon) for a particular amino acid; and 'wobble' base-pairing, i.e. permitting non-standard base-pairing at the 3rd anti-codon position. The record is from RNAcentral. RNAcentral also lists the same sequence under 1 other name. Lineage: Bacteria; Bacillati; Bacillota.
CCGGGCGUAGCUCAGCUUGGUAGAGCGCUAGCUUUGGGAGCUAGAUGCCGCAGGUUCGAAUCCUGUCGCCCGGACCA